GACGAAGGAUGCAAGCGUUAUCCGGGUUCAUUGGGUUUAAAGGGAGCGUAGGCGGAUUUGUAAGUCAGUGGUGAAAUCUCUGGGCUCAACCCAGAAACUGCCAUUGAUACUGCAGAUCUAGAGUACAGUUGCCGUUGGCGGAAUAUGACAUGUAGUGGUGAAAUACUUAGAUAUGUCAUAGAACACCGAUUGCGAAGGCAGCUAACGAAACUGUAACUGACGCUGAGGCUCGAAAGUGCGGGGAUCAAACAGG
This 253-nucleotide ribosomal RNA is filed under the name uncultured bacterium. RNAcentral's name for it is "partial 16S ribosomal RNA". It matches the Rfam family "Bacterial small subunit ribosomal RNA", at positions 524 to 776 of the family's 1533-position model. The record is from RNAcentral.